This 253-nucleotide ribosomal RNA is filed under the name uncultured bacterium. RNAcentral's name for it is "partial 16S ribosomal RNA". It matches the Rfam family "Bacterial small subunit ribosomal RNA", at positions 524 to 776 of the family's 1533-position model. The record is from RNAcentral.
UACAGAGGUCUCAAGCGUUGUUCGGAUUCAUUGGGCGUAAAGGGUGUGUAGGUGGCGCUGUAAGUCGGGUGUGAAAUUUCGGAGCUUAACUCCGAAACUGCAUUCGAUACUGCGGUGCUUGAGGACUGGAGAGGAGACUGGAGUUCAUGGUGUAGCAGUGAAAUGCGUAGAGAUCAUGAGGAAGACCAGUGGCGAAGGCGGGUCUCUGGACAGUUCCUGACACUGAGACACGAAGGCCAGGGGAGCAAACGGG